RNAcentral lists this long non-coding RNA (13089 nucleotides) under Vitis vinifera (wine grape). RNAcentral describes it as "long non-coding RNA (VVIN_LNC006289)". Lineage: Eukaryota; Viridiplantae; Streptophyta; Magnoliopsida; Vitales; Vitaceae. The record is from RNAcentral.
GCUAAAGGGUUACAGCUAAGGAAAGGAUAAAUGGGAGAGAAGAACAGGACAUCCUCACCACCAUCGUCUUAGCAUCAAAGACCCUCUUUUUUCUUCUUCCAAAUUCUGUUCUUGUAAUUUUGUUACAAUCCAACCAUGGCUUCCUCUAGCAAUUCUAAGAGACCCUUUUGUUCUUCUUCUUCUUCUAAUUCUAAAUGGAGGUACGAUGUGUUCUUGAGUUUCAGAGGCGAGGAUACCCGCAACAACUUUACUAGUCAUCUCUACAAGGAUUUGGAUAAGGCCAACAUUAAAACCUUUAAAGAUGAUGAAGAACUUCGAAAGGGAGGAGAGAUUGCACCCGAGCUCCUAAAAGCUAUUGAAGAAUCAAGGAUCGCCAUUAUCGUCUUCUCGAAAACCUAUGCUCAUUCCAAGUGGUGCUUGGAUGAACUCGUCAAGAUCAUGGAGUGCCAGAAAGAAAAGGGACAAAUAGUUUAUCCCGUUUUCUAUCACGUACGGCCGUGUGAAGUCAGGAACCAGUAUGGGACUUAUGGAGAAGAAUUUAAGAAACACGAGAGCAAUGCGGACGAGGAGAAGAAGAAGAAAAUAGGGGAGUGGAGGACUGCCUUAAGGAAAGCCGGUGAUUUGAGUGGAUUUAGUCUGCGGGAUAGGUAAUCCCUACUUCACUUUUUCCAUUUCCAAUUUUCUGUCAGUUUAUUUUCAUUCUUGUUAGUAAAUAAAAUAUUUAUGAUUACAUAUAUCAAUCAAAAUCCAGUUUUUAAGUAGUAGACAUUAAUAUGUUUGAUUUCUUGGAAAGUAAUAAGAAGAGUUAAAAAUAAAUAAAAAUAAAAAUUUAAAAAAUUUGAUUUUCUUAUAUUUAAUGUAUUAUUAAAAAAUAUGAAAGAAAAUAAAAAUAUAAUUAAAAUACAUUGUAAAAAUAUAUAUAAUUAGUUUAUAAUUAAAAUAAUCUUAGAAAAUCUAUAGUAGUUGUUCUGGGCUCAUUCAGGCCCAACAGGUAAUCCCUAUUUCACUUUUUCCAUUACCAAUUUUCUGUCGGUUUAUUUUCAUUCUUGUUAAUAAAUAAAAUAUUUAUGAUUACAUUUAUCAAUCAAAAUCCAUUUUUAAGUAGUAGACAUUAAUAUGUUUGAUUUCUUGGAAAGUAAUAAGAAAGAGUAAAAAAAAAAAUUGACUUUCUCACAUUUAAUUUAUUAUUAAAAUUAUAAAAGGAAAUCAAAUAUAAUUAAAAUAUAUCGAAAAAAAAAAUAUUUGCCUACAAUUGGGAUAAUAUUAGAAAAUCUAUAGUAGGUGUUGUGGGCUCAUUCAGGCCCAGGUAAUACUGGUAAAAAAAUAAAAUAAAAUAAUUAUGCCAAAUGCCAAGUUUUGAAUUGUUAAAAAUCUUUAAGAUUCCAAAAUAUUCUUCCUUUCUAAUCAAUCCAUCUCAGCCAUAAUUUCUAUCAAUUAAAUUGUUCAAAUUGGUUAUUUAUAUGCUUUGUAAAUUUGGAGAUAAUCUGAGAUGAUUAUUUAAAAUAUUGUAAUACUACCCUAAAUUUUUUUGGACCCUCUUAUGGGACAAAAAACUUAGUUAUUGCACCCUUAACCUUUUUCAAUUUUAGAGGAAUUUUCUAUUACUAAAAUAAUUUUCUCAUGUUCUCUGUGCACUACAUGAGUUUACAUUUCUUCUUUACUUAAUAUUGUUUGUUCCUCUAUAUUUGCAAGUUGAUUAUUAAAUUUAUUUACCUUUUAAUCUAAUGUUUGUAUCUCGUUUUAUUCUAAUUAUCCCAUGACAUCUGGAUAAUCUCUUCUUAAGACCUUGACAUGACAUAAUGAAAUUUUAUUUAAACAUGCAAUUCAACACAUUUUUAAUUUACAUUCUAUUUGACCUUAAUUUAAUUGCACCGAACUAAAGAUCAUUCUAUAAUUUCCAUUUACUUCAUCUUUGUUUUCUUUGACAAUUGAUUGUAGCUUACUCCAUGUUUUAUUGUACUUUAUAAUGGACAGAUCUGAGGCAGAGUUUAUUGAAGAAAUCAUUGGUGAGAUUCGAAGAUUAAUUCCUAAGUGGGUACAUGUUGGUGAGAAUAUUGUUGGAAUGGAUGAAAAUUUGAAAAAAGUGAAGUUAUUGAUAGAUGCCCAAUCAAAUAAAGUGAGUAUGGUUGGGAUUUAUGGGACUGGUGGGAUUGGUAAAACUACCAUCGCCAAGGUUGUUUACAAUGAUAUGUUAGAUCAAUUUAAAUGUCACAGCUUUCUUGAAAAUGUGAGAGAGAAAUAUGAAGAUAAAGGUGAUUUGCUUCAAUUACAAAAAGAACUUCUUUGUGAUAUCCUAAUGGAGAAAAAUCUGGUGUUAAGGAAUAUUGAUGAAGGAUUUAAAAAGAUAAAGAGUAAGCGUCACUCUGAAAAGGUUCUUAUUGUUCUUGAUGAUGUAGGUUGUGAAGAACAAUUAAAAUUCUUAGCUCCUAAUUCUGAAUGUUUUCAUCCAGGAAGCAUAAUCAUUGUGACCACGAGAAAUAAGCGUUGCCUAGAUGUAUAUGACUCGUAUUCAUCAUAUGAGGCUAAGAGAAUGGCAGACAAGCAAGCUGAGGAACUCUUUUGUUGGAAUGCCUUCAAGCAAGACCAUCCCAUAGAAAAUUUUGUGGGCCUCUCUAAUCGUAUACUGGAUUAUGCUGACGGCCUUCCAUUGGCUCUUGUAGUUUUGGGUUCUUUUCUCUUUCAAAGGCCUAUGGAUGAAUGGGAAAGCACAUUGGAUGAACUCAAAACAAUCCCUCCCGAGAAUAUUCAAAAGGUACUCCAGAUAAGUUAUGAUGGACUAAGUGAUGAACGCAAGAAGUUGUUUCUUUAUAUUGCAUGCUUCUUCAAAGAUGAGGAUGAAAAAAUGGCAACAAGAAUACUAGAAAGUUGCAAAUUACAUCCCGCUAUUGGACUAAGAGUUCUUCAUGAGAGGUGUCUUAUUUCUAUAGAGGACAACACUAUAAGGAUGCAUGACUUGUUACAAGAAAUGGGUUGGGCAAUUGUUUGCAAUGAUCCAGAACGUCCAGGAAAAUGGAGCAGAUUGUGCGAAUUACAGGAUAUUGAAAGUGUAUUAUCACAAAAUGAGGUAAGAGAAAAAUACAUGAACAUACUUGAGAUCUAAAGACAUAAAAGAUUCAACAAGAUUUAUUUUUAUUAUUAUUAUAGUUUGAGUAUAUUAUCUAUAUAAUUUUAGUGAAUCCCUAUGCAUCUUAUACUGCUCAUUCUCAAUCCUUGUUUUCAGUGGACAAAAAACAUUGAGGGGAUUUUCACAAGUCAGUCUCGCCAUACAGGAAAACAUAUACAACUUACUACUGAAGUUUUCAGAAAUAUGAAUCAACUUAGAUUGCUCAAAGUCGAAUUCAAUCAGAUCGUGCAGCUUUCCCAAGACUUUGAAUUGCCUUGUCAUGAUUUAGUAUAUUUUCAUUGGGAUUACUACCCUUUAGAAUAUUUGCCAUCAAAUUUUCAUACAGACAAUCUUGUUGAACUCAACCUCUGGUGUAGCCGCAUAAAACAUCUUUGGGAAGGAAAUAUGGUAUUGCUAUUAUUUAGUUAUAUUUUUGUUGUAGACUAAUUUUAAAGUCUUUUGAAGUUUACUUCUUGACACAAAUUUUCUUCUGUUACAGCCUGCUAAAAAGUUAAAAGUCAUUGAUCUUAGUUAUUCCAUGCAUCUGGUUGACAUUUCAAGCAUCUCAAGUAUGCCAAAUUUGGAGACUCUAACUCUAAAAGGUUGUACAAGGUUCCUUAAGUGUUUCAUCCAUGCUAAAUGUUAUUAUCAGUCAUGAACUAAUUGUUUUCUUGAAUAUAAUAGGGUGCACGAGACUUAAGAGUCUUCCAAGGAACUUUCCUAAGUUGGAAUGCCUUCAAACACUCUCUUGUUGUGGCUGUUCAAACUUAGAGAGUUUUCCGAAGAUCGAGGAAGAAAUGAGAAGUCUAAGAAAGCUUAAUUUAAGUCAAACAGGUAUAAUGGGAUUACCAUCAUCAAUUAGCAAGCUAAAUGGGCUUAAAGAGUUGGACUUAAGUAGUUGCAAAAAGCUUUCGAGUCUUCCGGACAGUAUUUAUAGUUUGAGCUCUCUUCAAACUCUCAAUCUAUUUGCAUGUUCACGACUAGUGGGCUUUCCGGGUAUCAAUAUUGGAAGUCUAAAAGCUCUUAAAUACUUGGAUUUGUCAUGGUGUGAGAACCUUGAGAGUCUUCCGAAUAGUAUUGGUAGUUUGAGCUCUCUUCAAACUCUUUUAUUGAUAGGGUGUUCAAAACUGAAGGGCUUUCCAGAUAUCAAUUUUGGAAGUCUAAAAGCUCUUGAAUCGUUAGAUUUCUCAGGUUGCAGAAACCUUGAGAGUCUUCCCGUGAGCAUUUACAAUGUAAGCUCUCUCAAAACUUUGGGGAUUACAAAUUGUCCAAAACUCGAGGAAAUGUUAGAGAUGAAACUAGGGGUUGAUCCAUGCCCCUGGCCAUUUUCACCUCUAACCUGUCACAUUUCAAAUUCAGCAAUAAUCUGGGAUGAUCACUGGCAUGACUGCUUUUCCUCAUUAGAAGCAUUAGACUCACAGUGCCCCCUGUCAUCACUGGUAGAAUUAUCUGUAAGAAAGUUUUAUGACAUGGAAGAAGACAUCCCCAUUGGCAGUUCCCACCUAACCUCAUUGGAAAUAUUAUCUCUGGGGAACGUCCCUACAGUAGUAGAAGGAAUCCUCUAUGACAUUUUCCAUCUAUCUUCAUUGGUAAAAUUAUCUCUUACUAAAUGCAAGCCAACAGAAGAAGGAAUCCCCCGUGAUAUUCAGAACCUAUCUCCACUGCAACAAUUAUCUCUACAUGACUGCAAUCUAAUGAAAGGAACGAUCCUCGAUCAUAUUUGCCAUCUAACAUCCUUGGAAGAAUUAUAUCUGGGUUGGAACCAUUUUAGUAGCAUUCCUGCUGGCAUCAGUCGACUUUCCAAUCUAAAAGCCCUUGACUUGAGUCACUGCAAGAAGCUUCAACAAAUUCCAGAGCUUCCAUCUAGUCUACGAUUUUUAGAUGCGCACUGUCCGGAUCGUAUUUCAUCAAGCCCCUUGCUUCUACCUAUUCAUUCUAUGGUCAAUUGCUUCAAAUCAAAAAUUGAGGUAUGAUUCUCAUGCCACGUUCCUUUUUCUUUUGUACCCAUUGGAUUUACAUGGUGCUUUCGUGCAGGGGCGCAAGGUUAUUAAUAGGUAUUCUUCCUUCUAUGGCAAUGGGAUUGGUAUUGUUAUUCCUAGUAGUGGAAUUCUAGAGUGGAUAACGUAUCGGAAUAUGGGAAGGCAAGUAACAAUAGAGCUCCCUCCGAAUUGGUAUAAAAAUGAUGACUUGUGGGGAUUUGCUUUAUGCUGUGUUUAUGUUGCACCUGCCUGUAAAUCUGAGGAUGAAUCUCAGUAUGAAUCAGGUCUUAUAUCUGAGGAUGACAGUGACCUUAAAGAUGAAGAAGCAAGCUUUUAUUGUGAAUUGACAAUCGAAGGAAAUAAUCAAUCAGAAGACGUGGGUCAUUUCUUUCUUCAUUCUCGCUGUAUUAAGGAUGAUGUAUCAGAUAUGCAGUGGGUGAUAUGUUAUCCCAAGUUAGCUAUUGAGAAAAGUUAUCACACCAAUCAAUGGACACACUUCAAGGCUUCAUUUGGUGGUGCCCAAGUGGAAGAGUGCGGAAUCCGUCUUGUAUACAGAAAAGAUUAUGAACAGAAGCAUCCAAGAAUGGCACAAGGCAGUACUUCUCAUGGGAAUUUUGGUGAGCAUGGAUCAGUAAGAGAAGAUACUGAUAGUAAAGCUCACAAUAAAAGGAAUCCCACAGAACAGAGCCCAGGAGAGGAGUCACACCAUAAAAGAUCCAGAGAAACCCAAGACUGAUCUCAAGUAUUAGGCUCAACCACACUUGCAUCACUAAUGCUCUCUUUACUGGUAAUUCAUCUUCCUUUCUCUUUCUAAUUCAAAGGUCAGAAUUUUUUUUUUAUCGUGUUUCUCCUUUUUAUUUGUUUUUUUUUUCCCCAAGACAAACAAAACUUUGAGGCUAUCACCCAUGGGCGCAAACUUCAAUGGUACACCUCCCAAGUUUGUUUUUCUCUCUCUCCAACCGUCUCUCCCUAGAUUUUUCUGCAUUUUCUUCAAACUCAUAUUUCCAUAUGAAAUUCAAUUACAUUCGAGCAUUUCAAUCUCUGUAGCUACUGUCUGAAUCAAUUAUAGGGUUUCUUUUUUCUGGAAGUUUGUAAUGUUAUUGAUUUAAGACUUCAUGUUUGGGGAUGUUUUGGGUGGCUUGUUCACUGGUAUUACUUGUGAUAAUUGCAGCUCUGGUGCUUUCAAUGACUGACAAUAGUUGAAACUAUGUUGAAUGCUUGUACUAAGGGAAUGGACUUCAGCUGCUCCAGGGUUAGUGCUAUAACAUCAGUAUUCACUCUUCAAGAAUGUAUAUAGUUGUUGUUUUGGAAUUUUGAAAUUACUUAGCAUCAGACAAUUUCUAACUCGGGAUUUGGAUUGGGAACCAUAAGUUAUCUCACCCUAGUGUUCUUUGGAAUAAUUAUAGGAUUUUGUAAGUAACUUUGGACUUGUUAGCAAUGUUCUGGAUUUGUGAAUAAUUUAUAGAAUACAUUGGGUGUUUUUUUUUUUUGGUCCAUCAAAAACUUCAAGAACUUUGAGGGUGAAUAAUGUAUGACUGUACUCUUCUCUAUCUCUGUGGUCAUAGCACACGUAUGAUUUGGUGCUUUUUUGCAGGCCUUCAACAGCAGCAAAGCAUCUGGUGGCUUGCAGUACUAAUCUUGCAUUAUAUUCUCUGUUUUGCAAUCAUUUGGUACUUUUUGUCCCAACCAAGGAUAGCUCUGUGCAAGCAGUCUCGACUGUGGAACAAGUAAAACAAAUGGUACCUGCUGAAGCUGAGAGUGCAGAUGAUAAACUGGUGCGGAAGGUGGUCAACCAAAAGAAUCAGACAGCAAAAACUAAAAAGCCCAUGAAGCCUGCUACUGAAGCAGUCUCAGCACCUGUUUCUAGGAGGGGUGAGAUUGAAGUGACUGAAGAAAAGGAGCAUCAGCAAACAAAGAAGGAAGAGGAGUUGGCCAGGAAGGUAGAGGAAUUGAGAAGUGAAGAAGAAGCAGCCAUGUUGAAGGAGCAAAGUCUGUUGGAGGAGAGAAAGCCAACGUUAAGGAGGCACUGGAAAGGCAACAAGGAACUGCAGAAAAGGCCAAUUUCUCUGUGAGUGCUGCCACCUUUUCAUGAUACAGCCAUCAUAAUGGAUGUUAAAAGCAGUCUAACUCUACAUACUUCCUUGCAUUAUACUAGUCAUUGAUGGGCUUAAAUUUUAAUUUAAAUGUAGUAUAAAUAUAUAAGUAGAUUGAUUGGGUCUGAAUUUGAACCUGGUUCGAGUCAUACUCCCAUCCAAUCCAAACUUGUGAUUGGGCUUGAAUUUCUUGGCCCAACCAGCGAAAUCAUUGACCAACGGCCCUUAGUUUGGGCUGGGCUUGAUGGUCCUCAGGUUAUGUAGGCUUAAUACUGAUUGGGUUUGGGCUUCCAUGCAGUUGUACUUGGAUUCUAUGUUUCCUAAUAUUAACACUAAAUUAGGUUUAAUUUAUAAUUAAAUAUAAUUAGUUUGAGACUAACUCCAAUCUUUAGUUAAACCAACUAAGUUUUAUGCAAAGGUUUAUAUUCCUAAUACCAUCAGGUAUUAUAGUAAAUACCAUUGAAAAACUAAAUUCAUGUGGAAGUUUCACUAGGUGAUACGACAUUAAAUUAUUAAGAUAAAAUUAAAAAAAGAUCAUGCUCGUAUGUCCCGUUGUUUGUCAUAAGAGAAUUUCUUUCUAGAUUUUUUUUUUUUUGCUCUUUUCAAUUCUAGAUAUUUUAAUAUAUCUUUACUUUUUCAAAAACAAUCCAUAGGAUUGUUCCCAAACAUAUAUCAUAUAAAUAUAUAUUUUUAAGAUUGAUUUUUAAGAAUGUUAUCAAAUAAACUCAUAAUAGCAUUUUUUUCUUUACAAUUACCAAUUCGUAUGAUGAAUUAAUUACUUUCAAUAACCGACAUCAUCUAAUCAAAAUUAUAAUUAAGUAUCAUAUUAAAAGAGUGUUUAAAAAAUCAAAUUUAAUAACUUAAAGUGAUUUAAUAAUUUAAUUUAAAUUAUUAAAAUAACUUGAUGUCACAAUUUAAAGUUAGAAAUGACUUAAUUUAUUUUUAUUUAAAUUUAAAACUAAGUUUACAAAAAAGGUUUAAAAUUCAUAUCAAUUAAGAAAUUAAGUCAUUAAGUUACUUUAAGCCAUUAAAUUGAUCUACCAAUUAAACACCCUUGAAGAUAUUACAUAAAGUUCACCUUCUACAUAUCAUGAAAAUUUAAAAUUAAUUACAACAUCAAGAAUCUUUAGUUCCUAAUCGAUAUCAUAUUUAAUCCUUGGUUGUAAAUUUCUUUACAUAUGUAGAUAUAUUUUUAUAUUGCAAGUGGGUUGCCGACUUUUCAUUUUAUACUAGUUUUGAAAUUAAGAUUGUAGUUUUUAUUUUGUCCAAAUCUAAUUUGGAGGGAGAAUCUUUAGAGGCUAUUUUAUAUUCAAAUAGGAAAAUUUUAAAUUUAAUAGUCCCACCUUAUAAAGGCAAAUAUCUUGGACCCUACAUGGGUGCCUCUUACAUGCAAAAGGACAAAGACUUAUUGAAAGCCUCUCUCAUUCACAUGGAUGCCAUCAUUCAUCAAAGUUGAAACAUGAAACCCACACAAAAGCAAUUUCAAUAUUUUUUUUCAUAACUAUAGCUGAGAAUCUCAAUAUUAUUAAAUAGUGACAAAAUUAAUUUCAAUAUUUUUUUUUCUUAUUUUUUGCUCCUUGUGGUUAUAUUUUCAUCUGGAAAGUAUUAAAUAUAUUAAAAAAGAAAAAAAUUAUAAAAAAAUUUUUUUCCUAGUUAAUUAUACUAUGAAAAAUAUAGAGUAAAAUAAAAUAUAAUUAAAAUUAGUUAAAAAAUUAUAUUUUUAUAAAAUUAUUUGACUUUUUUAUAAAAAUUUAAAAUAAGUGACAUGAGUUUGAAAUAGUAUAUAUAUUGACUUUAAUUCUUUCAAAUUAAUCACUAGGUUGUUAGAGACAUACACCUAUGAUCCAAAGGUUUUCCCAACAAAGAUAUCAAUAAAUCUUUCUACUCCAUUGAUUGCAUCUUGAAUUCUUUCAAAUUAAUCACUUCAUUGUAAUCAUUAUUCACUUCAUUGUGAUUUGUCAGACAACAAUUCAUUUCUGCUUCAUGGUUGGACCUUGAGGUAAGGCUUUAGAGGCAUAAGCCUCAAAAGCCUCUUAAAAUUGGUUCUACACUUCUUGCAUGAUGAAUGCAAGUUCCAAAUUUUGAUGACUUGGUAAUGUUGGAGUAAUUGGGUUGAAAGCAGUCAAACACAAAUAUUUAUUAAAGAAGAUAAAAAUUUGGAAGAAUUAAAAUUUUAUUGUAUUCUACCACUCUUUUUUUUAUUCAAAUAUUACAUAAUCCUUUAUUAACUAAAAAUGACAUAAUUAAAAGUAAAUUAUCAUUUGAUUGCAAUGGAUUUAAUAGAAUAUGGUGGAUAUGCUAAAUUUUUGUCUGAUAAUAAAAUUUGAUUUGAGUGAAUAUAAUUAGAGUAAAAUAGUCUUUUUAACUAUCACUUUUACAAUAAAAAGUGUUUUAUUUAAACAAAUAUUUAAUAAAAUUUUAAAAACAUUUGAUAAAUAAUUAUUAUAAAAACUCUUCCUCGAAAAUACUUCAAAGUUCGUCGGAUGGUAAAUUAUACAUCAAGAUCUUAAUGAUGGUCCAUGCAACCAUCACCAUUGAUUGUUUUUGAAAACACAACUUCAAUUUAAAUAAUAUUUUAAGGUAACUCCUAGUUAUCAUAUUUUACAAGAUAUUUUUUAAAAUUAUUGUUUUUUUUCUUUCAAAAUCCUAAGAGAGAGGUCACCAAUAUCAAAAUAAUGUGACCCAUCUCUAUACUAUUGUCUCCAUUAUUUGGACUAUAUCAUAGUUUCCUUAUUGACAACAUGGUAGCCAUGUUAAAUACCUACAACUUUGAAAACAAGAUCUCAAAACUAUGCCUAUUUGAUUAUAAGGCUUAAUUAUUAUAGUUUAUCAUUUCCUAGCAUAUAUAGUUCUUAGCAUCUAAGUAUUUGUUAUAUAAGAAUUUUUCUCAUUUUUCAAGCUUGCAUUUUGUUUAGAAAUUUUUUGAGUUUUUUACAAUCAUUUUGAAAAUGUCAACUCAUAAUUAUAUACAUUUUAGUUCUAUAAGGACUAAAAUCACUUAACAUCAUGGUAAUACUAUUUAAGGUAAUUUGCUUUGAAUCAGAAUGAACUUAUAUACAACUUACGAUUUAUGGUAAUAAUAGAGAUCGAAUUUAAAAAUACAUAAGUUUUCAAUUAAAUAUUAAUAUAUUUAUGUUUCCUUCUUAUUUUUAAUCCUAAAACACAUUAAAUGUAUGCUCUUGAAUUCCUCCAUGUAAUGCGAUUUGAUAUAAUGAUAAAUCAACAAUUAUGAUUUAAUAAUAUGGUGCUUUGACUUUUGACAUUUAAGUAACACCGUCAAUAAAAGCUCCAUAUCUUUGCUUCAUGGAAGAACGUACAAAUGAUGUGAUUGAAUUACAUUUCAAUUAUGUUUGAUUCUUUGAAAAUACUCAAGAAAAAUAAAUAUUUAAAAAAAUAAUUUUCUCAUAUUUGAUUUUACUAUAAAAAAAAUACAUAAUUAAAAUUAGUAAUAAAUUUAAAUAAUUUUAAAUUACUUAAUCUUUAUAUAAAAAAGUUAAAUUAGUAAAACGAGUUUAAAACAUGAUAUAAAGGUAAUUUAUUGACUUUAAUUUUUUUUUUUUACUUCACUUUUUCUUUCCUUCUCUUUGAUGAGAUCAUCUUAGAUAAAUUGUUAAUUGAUUGCAGCAUAUUCAAUUGAAUUCGAUAGUCUAGGUAUCAUAAAUCAUACAUGUUGUGCACCAUUUACAGUAAAUGAACCGUCACAAACCAUACAUAGAGGAGAUGUUGAUUUCAUUAUAAAUCAUACGAUAAUUACAAAAGAUAUGAUAUUAACUUGCAGUAAAUUGCAACAUCGGCACUCUAAUGCUAGACAAAGUAACUAGACAAAGUAAGUCUAAUUAUUGCUAACUUUCCUCAUCUUUCUUGGGCCUUUUGGGUGCUUUUUGUGCAAAAGAGAAAAAGCUAUAACUAAAUUGCCAAUCCAUCACCGACGUUAUAGACUGAUGAAGAAUACCAAAGGGAGUGUUACGAAAUAAUGAGAAUAAAUAAUAAGAAAAAUAGAAUAAGAACACAUAGAUAUACGUGAAAAACUUUAGAUGGGAAAAAUCAUGAGAAAACGAGAAAAAGAUCCGUUAUGUCAAAAAUUGGUACAAAAUGGGAGAGUUGAAAGCGACUACAACAAAAGUAUAAUCAUCGUAACCCUAAAACUAUACAUCAUUAUUAUAUAUAUAUAUAUAUGUAUAUAUAUAUAUAUGCGAGAGUUGAGAACAACUAUGGGAUGAGGUCUAUCGACUCGAUCCCUUCACUACCCCCACAAAUCUCUCAAAAAAUCUCAUAAUUUUAACUUUACUACAUAUAUUGCAUCGCGAGCUUUUCGAAUUGAAUAAAAAAGAAUUUGGAAUCAUCAAACAGUAACAAAGGGAGUGAGAUCAUAACUUUGGAAGGAUUUUUUUUUUUUUUAAAUGUAGACUUGAAUGGUAAAUACUAAAAUGUGUUUGAGAGUGAUACUUGAAAGUAUUUUUAAUAUUUUUAAUAUUCGAAAAAUAAAAAAUUUUCAAAUAUUAAAAAUAUUUCCUAAAAUCAAUAUCAAAAACCAUUUUACAAAAUCAGUAUCAAACUAUCAAACAUAAUUUGAAUUUAAAUAGAGACAAGAACAACAUUGACUCUUGACUCACCAAACCAGUCCUAGUUCACUUAUUGAAUGAAAAGAAAAUAAUUAAAAAUAAAUAACAGCAUCCAUUCUACCAUGUUAUGAAGAGUAAAAGACAAUGGAGAUUUUAACUUUGUUGCCUUAAAAGUCAUGCCCCCUUUCAUGAGUAUAUAUAAUAAAAUAUAUUCGUUUGCAUCUCUUGAAUGCAAAUAAUUUGAUAAUUUUUUUAUAAUUAAUUUAUGAAGAUAACAAUUUGAUAAUUAGACAAUUAUGUUGAUAUUUUGACAUUAUUAUCAAUUUACCAAAUAAGAUUGUUUUUCACCCAACAAUAAUUUACUUAGAAUAAUAAAUAAAUUAAAUUAGCUAACGUAACCAAAGCAUUUGAUUAAAAAUUGGUUUUCAUUUACAAAGAUAAGUUGAAAAUUAAUUUUAAUUUGAUUUAAUUAGGAAAUUAAUUUUUUGCUUGUUAAGUUUGUUUUAAUUUGUAAAUUCAUGUAAAUAAAAAAAAGGAUAAAAAGAUAAUUUUCAUGUGAAAAUUCAUUUAAUUUGAAAAUAAAUGAUGUAAUGUGUUUCAUUGUCGGUUAGCAUUUUUCUUUUUUUCUUGUUUGUAUAACUUUUUAAAAUGUAAAAGAUAAUAAUAAAAUAAGAAAUAAUCAAUAAAUUAAAAAAAUAAAAUAAAUGAUCUCACUAAAAAUGUUUUUUUACCUUAUGUCAUAUGACUUGGAUUAUUUUUUUUCUCUUUUCAGUAAAACAAACUUUUAAUAUAAAUAAAAAAAUAAAAUAGGACAUAGAGGAAAAUAGCUAAAGAGUAUAAAAAAAAUUCAAAAUAAUGCACUAAAAAUGGAAAGAGAAUAUGGUGAGUAGUUGAAUAAUAAUAAAUAAAAAAAAGUCAAAAAAGCUUCAAUACUCUUUGAAUCCACUGUUAGUGAAUGCCAAAAGGCAUACAUCAUACACGCAACUAGAAAUAAAAUGGUAAAAUAUAAAGAAAAGAGUCAGAAAAAGCACGAAGACUACAAUUAAUAAUCGUGGCAGGACUUCGACUCUCGUGAACCCCCCACUGUCACUCAAUGCUAUAGGGUUACAGGCUUGGAGCCAAUCAAAGAUAAUUGAGACAGAAGAACCAGACAUCCUCAACACCAUCGUCUCAGACUCUCAGCAUUCAAAGACCCCUUUGUAUUUUCUUCUUCCAAAUUCUGUUCUUGUAAUUUUGUUACAAUCCAACCAUGGCUUCCACUAGCAAUCCCAAGAGACCCUCUUCUUCUUCUAAUUCUAAAUGGAGGUACGAUGUGGUCUUGAGUUUCAGAGGCGAGGAUACCCGCAACAACU